AUACGGAGGGUGCAAGCGUUACUCGGAAUCACUGGGCGUAAAGCGCGCGCAGGCGGUUAUUUAAGUUGGAUGUGAAAGCCUACGGCUCAACCGUAGAACUGCAUCCAAAACUAUUUAGCUAGAGUGUGGGAGAGGAAGAUGGAAUUAGUUGUGUAGGGGUAAAAUCCGUAGAGAUAACUAGGAAUACCAAAAGCGAAGGCAAUCUUCUGGAACACUACUAACGCUGAGGCGCGAAGGCGUGGGGAGCAAACAGGAUUAGAAACCCCGGUAGUCC
Molecule: ribosomal RNA, 274 nt
Filed under: uncultured bacterium
Lineage: Bacteria
Description: partial 16S ribosomal RNA
Rfam family: Bacterial small subunit ribosomal RNA
Source: RNAcentral